RNAcentral lists this ribosomal RNA (292 nucleotides) under uncultured bacterium. RNAcentral describes it as "partial 16S ribosomal RNA". It matches the Rfam family "Bacterial small subunit ribosomal RNA", at positions 505 to 796 of the family's 1533-position model. The record is from RNAcentral.
GUGCCAGCCGCCGCGGUAAUACGUAGGGGGCGAGCGUUGUCCGGAAUUAUUGGGCGUAAAGGGCACGCAGGCGGUCUGCCAAGUUCGGGGUGAAAGUCACCAGCUUAACUGGUGAAGGACUUCGAAAACUGGUGGGCUUGAGAGCGAGAGAGGGACAUGGAACUCCGGGUGGAGCAGUGAAAUGCGUAGAUAUCCGGAAGAACACCAAAGGCGAAGGCAGGGUCCUGGCUCGUUUCUGACGCUGAGGUGCGAAAGCUAGGGGAGCGAACGGGAUUAGAUACCCCAGUAGUCC